This 468-nucleotide ribosomal RNA is filed under the name uncultured bacterium. RNAcentral's name for it is "partial 16S ribosomal RNA". It matches the Rfam family "Bacterial small subunit ribosomal RNA", at positions 28 to 507 of the family's 1533-position model. The record is from RNAcentral.
GACGAACGCUGGCGGCGUGCUUAACACAUGCAAGUCGAACGGAAAGGCCCUGCUUUUGUGGGGUGCUCGAGUGGCGAACGGGUGAGUAACACGUGAGUAACCUACCCUUGACUUUGGGAUAACUUCAGGAAACUGGGGCUAAUACCGGAUAGGAGCUCCUGCUGCAUGGUGGGGGUUGGAAAGUUUCGGCGGUUGGGGAUGGACUCGCGGCUUAUCAGCUUGUUGGUGGGGUAGUGGCUUACCAAGGCUUUGACGGGUAGCCGGCCUGAGAGGGUGACCGGCCACAUUGGGACUGAGAUACGGCCCAGACUCCUACGGGAGGCAGCAGUGGGGAAUAUUGCACAAUGGGCGGAAGCCUGAUGCAGCAACGCCGCGUGCGGGAUGACGGCCUUCGGGUUGUAAACCGCUUUCGCCUGUGACGAAGCGUGAGUGACGGUAAUGGGUAAAGAAGCACCGGCUACCUACGUG